RNAcentral lists this ribosomal RNA (404 nucleotides) under Halipeurus heraldicus. RNAcentral describes it as "partial 12S ribosomal RNA". Lineage: Eukaryota; Metazoa; Arthropoda; Insecta; Psocodea; Philopteridae. The record is from RNAcentral.
AACUAGGAUUAGAUACCCUAUUAUAAGUAUAAAAUUUAAACUGUGUUGAGUAGAGUUUAUUAGUCUUGAAAAACAAAAUUGUUUGGCGGCCUAUCAAAUAUAUAGAGAAACAUGAUUUUUAAUGGAUAUUACACAAAAAUCUUACCUAAUGUUGAAUUAUUCAUUUGGUACACCGCCGUCGGAAGGAUAGUUUUAAAGGAUUAUUCUAUUUCUUUGUGAGAAGUAAGUCAGGUCAAGGCACCGACUAUAAUUAGGUUAAAUUGUGUUUCAUUAUUAUUAUUAUGUCUUAAAAUCUUAUUUAUUUGGGAGUUUUAAUACUGUAUAAAGGUAAAUGAAUCUAUAAGUAAAUUCUCUUUAUAAAAUUGAAUUGAAUAGUACUCUGAUUAGUGUACACAUCGCCCGUC